RNAcentral lists this small RNA (414 nucleotides) under Pan troglodytes (chimpanzee). RNAcentral describes it as "retained intron". Lineage: Eukaryota; Metazoa; Chordata; Mammalia; Primates; Hominidae. The record is from RNAcentral.
ACCACCCGGAGAGUUACCACUCCUUCAUGUGGAACAACUUCUUCAAGCACAUUGACAUCCACCCAGAAAACACCCACAUUCUGGAUGGGAAUGCAGUCGACCUACAGGCAGAAUGUGAUGCCUUUGAAGAGAAGAUCAAGGCUGCAGGUGGGAUCGAGCUAUUUGUUGGAGGCAUCGGCCCUGAUGGACACAUUGCCUUCAACGAGCCAGGCUCCAGUCUGGUGUCCAGGACCCGUGUGAAGACGCUGGCCAUGGAUACCAUCCUGGCCAAUGCUAGGUUCUUCGAUGGAGAACUCACCAAGGUGCCCACCAUGGCCUUGACGGUGGGGGUGGGCACUGUCAUGGAUGCUAGAGAGGUAAGGGCAUAAGGGCCCCACCAGCCUUGCGCUGGUGGACUUGUCUUUCUCUUGUUAA